Molecule: ribosomal RNA, 2923 nt
Filed under: Klebsiella pneumoniae
Lineage: Bacteria; Pseudomonadati; Pseudomonadota; Gammaproteobacteria; Enterobacterales; Enterobacteriaceae
Description: 23S ribosomal RNA
Rfam family: Bacterial large subunit ribosomal RNA
Source: RNAcentral
GGGUUGUGAGGUUAAGCGACUAAGCGUACACGGUGGAUGCCCUGGCAGUCAGAGGCGAUGAAGGACGUGCUAAUCUGCGAAAAGCGUCGGUAAGGUGAUAUGAACCGUUAUAACCGGCGAUGUCCGAAUGGGGAAACCCAGUGUGAUUCGUCACACUAUCGUUAACUGAAUACAUAGGUUAACGAGGCGAACCGGGGGAACUGAAACAUCUAAGUACCCCGAGGAAAAGAAAUCAACCGAGAUUCCCCCAGUAGCGGCGAGCGAACGGGGAGCAGCCCAGAGUCUGAAUCAGCUUGUGUGUUAGUGGAACGGUCUGGAAAGUCCGACGGUACAGGGUGAUAGUCCCGUACACCAAAAUGCACAGGUUGUGAACUCGAAGAGUAGGGCGGGACACGUGGUAUCCUGUCUGAAUAUGGGGGGACCAUCCUCCAAGGCUAAAUACUCCUGACUGACCGAUAGUGAACCAGUACCGUGAGGGAAAGGCGAAAAGAACCCCGGCGAGGGGAGUGAAAAAGAACCUGAAACCGUGUACGUACAAGCAGUGGGAGCACCUUCGGGUGUGACUGCGUACCUUUUGUAUAAUGGGUCAGCGACUUAUAUUCUGUAGCAAGGUUAACCGUAUAGGGGAGCCGCAGGGAAACCGAGUCUUAACUGGGCGUUAAGUUGCAGGGUAUAGACCCGAAACCCGGUGAUCUAGCCAUGGGCAGGUUGAAGGUUGGGUAACACUAACUGGAGGACCGAACCGACUAAUGUUGAAAAAUUAGCGGAUGACUUGUGGCUGGGGGUGAAAGGCCAAUCAAACCGGGAGAUAGCUGGUUCUCCCCGAAAGCUAUUUAGGUAGCGCCUCGUGAACUCAUCUUCGGGGGUAGAGCACUGUUUCGGCUAGGGGGUCAUCCCGACUUACCAACCCGAUGCAAACUACGAAUACCGAAGAAUGUUAUCACGGGAGACACACGGCGGGUGCUAACGUCCGUCGUGAAGAGGGAAACAACCCAGACCGCCAGCUAAGGUCCCAAAGUCAUGGUUAAGUGGGAAACGAUGUGGGAAGGCACAGACAGCCAGGAUGUUGGCUUAGAAGCAGCCAUCAUUUAAAGAAAGCGUAAUAGCUCACUGGUCGAGUCGGCCUGCGCGGAAGAUGUAACGGGGCUAAACCAUGCACCGAAGCUGCGGCAGCGACACUAUGUGUUGUUGGGUAGGGGAGCGUUCUGUAAGCCUGCGAAGGUGUGCUGUGAGGCAUGCUGGAGGUAUCAGAAGUGCGAAUGCUGACAUAAGUAACGAUAAAGCGGGUGAAAAGCCCGCUCGCCGGAAGACCAAGGGUUCCUGUCCAACGUUAAUCGGGGCAGGGUGAGUCGACCCCUAAGGCGAGGCCGAAAGGCGUAGUCGAUGGGAAACAGGUUAAUAUUCCUGUACUUGGUGUUACUGCGAAGGGGGGACGGAGAAGGCUAUGUUAGCCGGGCGACGGUUGUCCCGGUUUAAGCAUGUAGGCUGAUUGUCCAGGCAAAUCCGGAUAAUCAAGGCUGAGGUGUGAUGACGAGGCACUACGGUGCUGAAGUAACAAAUGCCCUGCUUCCAGGAAAAGCCUCUAAGCAUCAGGUAACAUCAAAUCGUACCCCAAACCGACACAGGUGGUCAGGUAGAGAAUACCAAGGCGCUUGAGAGAACUCGGGUGAAGGAACUAGGCAAAAUGGUGCCGUAACUUCGGGAGAAGGCACGCUGGUGUGUAGGUGAAGUCCCUGCGGAUGGAGCUGAGACCAGUCGAAGAUACCAGCUGGCUGCAACUGUUUAUUAAAAACACAGCACUGUGCAAACACGAAAGUGGACGUAUACGGUGUGACGCCUGCCCGGUGCCGGAAGGUUAAUUGAUGGGGUUAUCCGUAAGGAGAAGCUCUUGAUCGAAGCCCCGGUAAACGGCGGCCGUAACUAUAACGGUCCUAAGGUAGCGAAAUUCCUUGUCGGGUAAGUUCCGACCUGCACGAAUGGCGUAAUGAUGGCCAGGCUGUCUCCACCCGAGACUCAGUGAAAUUGAACUCGCUGUGAAGAUGCAGUGUACCCGCGGCAAGACGGAAAGACCCCGUGAACCUUUACUAUAGCUUGACACUGAACAUUGAGCCUUGAUGUGUAGGAUAGGUGGGAGGCUUUGAAGCGUGGACGCCAGUCUGCGUGGAGCCAACCUUGAAAUACCACCCUUUAAUGUUUGAUGUUCUAACGUUGGCCCCUUAUCGGGGUUGCGGACAGUGUCUGGUGGGUAGUUUGACUGGGGCGGUCUCCUCCCAAAGCGUAACGGAGGAGCACGAAGGUUAGCUAAUCCUGGUCGGACAUCAGGAGGUUAGUGCAAUGGCAUAAGCUAGCUUGACUGCGAGCGUGACGGCGCGAGCAGGUGCGAAAGCAGGUCAUAGUGAUCCGGUGGUUCUGAAUGGAAGGGCCAUCGCUCAACGGAUAAAAGGUACUCCGGGGAUAACAGGCUGAUACCGCCCAAGAGUUCAUAUCGACGGCGGUGUUUGGCACCUCGAUGUCGGCUCAUCACAUCCUGGGGCUGAAGUAGGUCCCAAGGGUAUGGCUGUUCGCCAUUUAAAGUGGUACGCGAGCUGGGUUUAGAACGUCGUGAGACAGUUCGGUCCCUAUCUGCCGUGGGCGCUGGAGAAUUGAGGGGGGCUGCUCCUAGUACGAGAGGACCGGAGUGGACGCAUCACUGGUGUUCGGGUUGUCAUGCCAAUGGCACUGCCCGGUAGCUAAAUGCGGAAGAGAUAAGUGCUGAAAGCAUCUAAGCACGAAACUUGCCCCGAGAUGAGUUCUCCCUGAGACUUUAAGUCUCCUGAAGGAACGUUGAAGACGACGACGUUGAUAGGCCGGGUGUGUAAGCGCAGCGAUGCGUUGAGCUAACCGGUACUAAUGAACCGUGAGGCUUAACCUUACAACGCCGAAG